ACUAAGCGUACACGGUGGAUGCCUAGGCAGUCAGAGGCGAUGAAGGACGUGCUAAUCUGCGAUAAGCGUCGGUAAGCUGAUAUGAAGCGUUAUAACCGACGAUUUCCGAAUGGGGAAACCCAGUGCAACUCGUUGCACUAUCGUUAAGUGAAUACAUAGCUUAACGAAGCGAACCAGGGGAACUGAAACAUCUAAGUACCCUGAGGAAAAGAAAUCAACCGAGAUUCCCCUAGUAGCGGCGAGCGAACGGGGAGCAGCCCAGAACCUUAAUCAGCGUAUGUGUCAGAGGAACGGUCUGGAAAGUCCGGCGAUACAGGGUGAUAGCCCCGUACUUGAAAAUGCAUAUGUUGUGAGUUCGAUGAGUAGGGCGGGACACGUGACAUCCUGUCUGAAUAUGGGGGGACCAUCCUCCAAGGCUAAAUACUCCUGACUGACCGAUAGUGAACCAGUACCGUGAGGGAAAGGCGAAAAGAACCCCGGCGAGGGGAGUGAAAUAGAACCUGAAACCGUGUACGUACAAGCAGUGGGAGCCUCUUUUAUGGGGUGACUGCGUACCUUUUGUAUAAUGGGUCAGCGACUUAUAUUUUGUAGCAAGGUUAACCGAAUAGGGGAGCCGUAGGGAAACCGAGUCUUAACUGGGCGUCAAGUUGCAAGGUAUAGACCCGAAACCCGGUGAUCUAGCCAUGGGCAGGUUGAAGGUUGGGUAACACUAACUGGAGGACCGAACCGACUAAUGUUGAAAAAUUAGCGGAUGACUUGUGGCUGGGGGUGAAAGGCCAAUCAAACCGGGAGAUAGCUGGUUCUCCCCGAAAGCUAUUUAGGUAGCGCCUCGUGAACUCAUCUUCGGGGGUAGAGCACUGUUUCGACUAGGGGGUCAUCCCGACUUACCAACUCGAUGCAAACUACGAAUACCGAAGAAUGUUAUCACGGGAGACACACGGCGGGUGCUAACGUCCGUCGUGAAGAGGGAAACAACCCAGACCGCCAGCUAAGGUCCCAAAGUCAUAGUUAAGUGGGAAACGAUGUGGGAAGGCAUAGACAGCCAGGAUGUUGGCUUAGAAGCAGCCAUCAUUUAAAGAAAGCGUAAUAGCUCACUGGUCGAGUCGGCCUGCGCGGAAGAUGUAACGGGGCUAAACUAUGCACCGAAGCUGCGGCAGCGACACUUAGGUGUUGUUGGGUAGGGGAGCGUUCUGUAAGCCUGUGAAGGUGACCUGUGAGGGUUGCUGGAGGUAUCAGAAGUGCGAAUGCUGACAUAAGUAACGAUAAAGCGGGUGAAAAACCCGCUCGCCGGAAGACCAAGGGUUCCUGUCCAACGUUAAUCGGGGCAGGGUGAGUCGACCCCUAAGGCGAGGCCGAAAGGCGUAGUCGAUGGGAAACAGGUUAAUAUUCCUGUACUCGGUGUUACUGCGAAGGGGGGACGGAGAAGGCUAGGCUAUCCGGGCGACGGUUGUCCCGGUUUAAGCGUGUAGGGGGUGUGACUUGGUAAAUCCGGUCGCAUAUCAACCCUGAGGCGUGAUGACGAGUCACUACGGUGAUGAAGUAGUUGAUGCCAAGCUUCCAGGAAAAGCCUCUAAGCUCUAGGUAACAUUGAAUCGUACCCCAAACCGACACAGGUGGUCAGGUAGAGAAUACCAAGGCGCUUGAGAGAACUCGGGUGAAGGAACUAGGCAAAAUGGUGCCGUAACUUCGGGAGAAGGCACGCUGGCGCGUAGGUGAAGUCCCUUGCGGAUGGAGCUGAAGCCAGUCGAAGAUACCAGCUGGCUGCAACUGUUUAAUAAAAACACAGCACUGUGCAAACACGAAAGUGGACGUAUACGGUGUGACGCCUGCCCGGUGCUGGAAGGUUAAUUGAUGGGGUCAGCCGCAAGGCGAAGCUCUUGAUCGAAGCCCCGGUAAACGGCGGCCGUAACUAUAACGGUCCUAAGGUAGCGAAAUUC
Molecule: ribosomal RNA, 1937 nt
Filed under: human gut metagenome
Description: bacterial LSU rRNA
Rfam family: Bacterial large subunit ribosomal RNA
Source: RNAcentral